RNAcentral lists this ribosomal RNA (721 nucleotides) under uncultured Lachnospiraceae bacterium. RNAcentral describes it as "bacterial SSU rRNA". It matches the Rfam family "Bacterial small subunit ribosomal RNA", at positions 28 to 749 of the family's 1533-position model. The record is from RNAcentral. Lineage: Bacteria; Bacillati; Bacillota; Clostridia; Lachnospirales; Lachnospiraceae.
GAUGAACGCUGGCGGCGUGCUUAACACAUGCAAGUCGAGCGAAGCACUUGCCAUUGACUCUUCGGAAGAUUUGGCAUUUGACUGAGCGGCGGACGGGUGAGUAACGCGUGGGUAACCUGCCUCAUACAGGGGAAUAACAGUUAGAAAUGGCUGCUAAUGCCGCAUAAGCGCACAGGACCGCAUGGUCUGGUGUGAAAAACUGAGGUGGUAUGAGAUGGGCCCGCGUCUGAUUAGGUAGUUGGCGGGGUAACGGCCCACCAAGCCGACGAUCAGUAGCCGACCUGAGAGGGUGACCGGCCACAUUGGGACUGAGACACGGCCCAGACUCCUACGGGAGGCAGCAGUGGGGAAUAUUGCACAAUGGAGGAAACUCUGAUGCAGCGACGCCGCGUGAAGGAAGAAGUAUCUCGGUAUGUAAACUUCUAUCAGCAGGGAAGAAAAUGACGGUACCUGACUAAGAAGCCCCGGCUAACUACGUGCCAGCAGCCGCGGUAAUACGUAGGGGGCAAGCGUUAUCCGGAUUUACUGGGUGUAAAGGGAGCGUAGACGGACGGGCAAGUCUGAUGUGAAAGCCCGGGGCUUAACCCCGGGACUGCAUUGGAAACUGUCCAUCUUGAGUGCCGGAGAGGUAAGCGGAAUUCCUAGUGUAGCGGUGAAAUGCGUAGAUAUUAGGAGGAACACCAGUGGCGAAGGCGGCUUACUGGACGGUAACUGACGUUGA